GUCCGUAGCAGCUGGAGAUCCACCCAAAUUUCCAUAUGGGGUGAGGUUAGGGGAAAGCGGAGGCCAGAUGGCCUGAUGUAUCCCCAGGGCUGACUGCAUCAUCCUGCAUGGAGACUGUCAUCUACCACCACGAUCUGAGUGGUGGGCCUGCUAAUGGACGAGGGCGCCGAGAAGGUGGCAGUAUUGUCUCCUGUGCAUCUACCCGCUGACUCCUCUGCCACAAAGUGAUCGAUGGAUGGUGGGGCAGCAACUUAGAAACUGGAUUUAGGAAUUGCUUUCAACCACUUUGUGUCCAUCUCACCUUGGACUAUUGGUCUGGCUAUGUUUCAAGUGCUUGAUAGCUACAUGUAGCUUGUGGCUACUGGAUUAAGUGGAACAGACUCUCCUCCAAAUGCUUCAGAAACGCUGACCAAAUGAUCUUUACAAAGGUCUCCUCUGACUAGAUGGCUCCCUGAGUCUACGCCAGCCUGUGCACUUGGGCUCUUCAGUCUCAUCAGGUUGUCUGCAGUGGGCUGGUGGAGGUGGCCUAGAAGAGUCUAGGAUGCUGAGGGAUGACCCCAGGGCAACCUAAGGGACCCAGGGGUGGUGGAAAUUGCCGGGCAGAAACAGCCAAGGGAGUCUGAGUUCUUUUUGUAUGGGGGCCACUGUGGCUCAUGGGGCUGGAUAUGGGUCCCAGGCAGUGCAGUAAUACAUGCCUGCAUCAUGCUUCUCCAGCAUCAGCACUGACAGGGUACUGCUGGUACCGUCCUUGGCCUCUAUGGAGGUGAUUUUAUCCACUUUCAGGACCAAAUCCCACAACACAUCCGGCUUAAACAUGGCCAGUCAGAGAAGUCUCUCAAGGUCCUUGCCCUCCUGGUGGUGGUACCAGUGGAUGCAGCAGACUGUGAUGUGGGCCAUGCCCAGCAGGAUUGCCAAGCUACCCGAGAAUACCACCACCAAUGCUUCCUGCUCCAGCUUCAGCACAGCCAGGUUGCCUGCCGGGGAGAUGGCCAUGAAGCAGGGGCAACAAGAGUCUCACAAACAGGAGGGCCAAUAGCAUGGCAAGGUGGCCCAGUGUGGCUCUACUUCCUGCCCAGGUAGAGUGAAGCCGAGAGUGACCUUAUGGGAAAAACUGCUAAGGCGAGCCACAUCUUUGUGUGUGGUGGAGGCCAGUUAAGCGUUUGAGCCACUGCUUCAAAACAAGAAGGUGACUUGCGAGAGAAAUGGGGGAAGGAAGGAGUGACUGGAAAGAGAAGAGAGAAAAGUCUGACCACAAGGUGAAGGGAGGGAUGAUAAAUGGUGAGAAUUCUGAGAAACACUUAGAGAAUGUUGGUGGAAUAGUAACAGCAAUAGUAGCAUUCUUGGAUUGGACAUGGACUACACUCUAGCAGUAUGCUAAUUAGUGUAUUUUAUUGUUUUAUUAAAUCCUGCAAAUAACCCUGUGGGAUAAAUAUUAUUAUCCUCAGUUUGGAAAUGGGGAAAGCAAGGCUGGUAUUUUAAAUCAGUUUCCCAAGACUGCACAUUGUGAAAGAUGACAUGAGUGGGGCCACAUUAAAAUGGAGGCAGAGCAGCCAUUUCCAAGGAUUUUCCUAGCUCAUCUUGCUUUCUUUAUCCCCCAAACUGGACUAAACUGCUGACAUUCUAAGUAGUCAGUAAGGACAAGAAUAUCCUGUUUGUAAGAAAUGUUGAAAUUGGACUUUGCUGAUGGAGCUGAUGACCAAAUCACUAACCAAUCAACAAAGUACAAGUCCAGCCUUUUGCCUGAUAACUGAAUCUUAAGUCAAUCUAUGAAGUACAAUCCUAGCAUUACCUCAUCUGGCAGCAAUGAACUCUAAUACAACUUACCUCAUCUUCUUCCAUUUUUCUCAUAAAAACCUGAGUCCCUCUCUUGUAAACAGGACACUUAUUUGGGUUUCUACCUGAAUCUGUUCCCUGAAUUGCAAUUCUUUGAUCCCAAAUAAAUGUUUUGCCUCUUAAACUGGUUUCUGCUUCUAUAGGUUGACAUAUGGUGUCAGAAGUGGGAUAUGAAGCGAUCUCAUCUUUGCAUACCAGUGUCUCCUGGAAACAGGUUUGGUAUGAACACGAGUCCCCUUGUGUGUGCACCACUUCCAUGGACCAUCAGCUCUUCCAAGGAUGAGUCCACUCAGUUACUCUAGAAUACAGGUUUCUGAUCAACUUUUACAUCAUAAAACCAAACUGGGUAACAAAUGACAGAGUCUAACAGAGAAACUGAUGGCUUCAUAAAACUGCUAACAAAAGAUCAAGAACAAGUAUUAAUUACAUGGGACAACAUGAGCUGAGGAGGAUGCUUUAAUGUUUUGUUUUUCCAUAUUUAAAGAAAUCUUUUCUCUUCAGCUAUCAACAAUUUGACUGGACCAAACUGCCAACAUCCCAAGAAGUCAGAAAGGACAAGAAUGUCCUAUUUGUAAGAACUGAUGAAAUUAGACUUUGCCGAUGAGCAAAUGGUAACCAAUCAAUGAAGCACAAAUGCAAUCUCUUGCCUGAUGACUGGAUCUGAAGCCAGUCUGUGAAGUACAAACCCAGCCUUGCCUCAUCUAGCACCAAUAAACUCUUCUUUAACACGACUUACCUCACCUUCUUCCCUUUUUCUCAUAAAAACCCUGAGCCCCUCUCCUGUAAUCAGGACACUAUUUGGAUUUCUACCUGAAUCUCUGCUCCCUCAAUUGCAGUUCUUUG
This 2676-nucleotide long non-coding RNA is filed under the name Equus asinus (donkey). RNAcentral describes it as "lncRNA (ENSEASG00005036525.1)". Lineage: Eukaryota; Metazoa; Chordata; Mammalia; Perissodactyla; Equidae. The record is from RNAcentral.